CAGGGAUUGCCUCAGUAACGGCGAGUGAAGCGGCAACAGCUCAAAUUUGAAAUCUGACCCCCUCGGGGCCCGAGUUGUAAUUUGUAGAGGGUGUUUCGGGCGCGGCGCCGGUCUAAGUUCCUUGGAACAGGACGUCACAGAGGGUGAGAAUCCCGUAUGUGACCGGCGAUCAAGCCCAUGUGAAGCCCCUUCGACGAGUCGAGUUGUUUGGGAAUGCAGCUCAAAAUGGGUGGUAAAUUUCAUCUAAAGCUAAAUAUUGGCCAGAGACCGAUAGCGGACAAGUAGAGUGAUCGAAAGAUGAAAAGCACUUUGGAAAGAGAGUCAAACAGUACGUGAAAUUGUUGAAAGGGAAGCGCUUGCAAUCAGACCGGUCCGGGGGCGAUCAGCCGCUGCUCGUCAGCGGUGCACUCGCCCUCGAUCCGGCCAGCAUCGGUUUGGGCGGCGGGAGAAAAGUCCCGGGAAUGUAGCUUCCUUCGGGGAGUCUUAUAGCCCGGGUCGGCAUGCCGCCCGCCUGGACCGAGGACCGCGCUUCGGUUAGGAUGCUGGCAUAAUGGUUGCAAGCGACCCGUCUUGAAACACGGACCAAGGAGUUUAACAUCUAUGCGAGUGUUUGGGUGUCAAACCCGGGCGCGGAAUGAAAGUGAACGGAGGUGGGAACCCGUCAGACGGCGCACCAUCGACCGAUCCAGAUGUCUUCGGAUGGAUUUGAGUACGAGCAUAGCUGUUGGGACCCGAAAGAUGGUGAACUAUGCCCGGAUAGGGUGAAGCCAGAGGAAACUCUGGUGGAGGCUCGCAGCGGUUCUGACGUGCAAAUCGAUCGUCAAAUCUAGGCAUAGGGGCGAAAGACCAAUCGAACCAUCUAG
This 863-nucleotide ribosomal RNA is filed under the name Pseudocyphellaria crocata. Its description in RNAcentral is "LSU rRNA". It matches the Rfam family "Eukaryotic large subunit ribosomal RNA", at positions 69 to 947 of the family's 3401-position model. The record is from RNAcentral. Lineage: Eukaryota; Fungi; Ascomycota; Lecanoromycetes; Peltigerales; Lobariaceae.